GGGCAUAUAGCUCAGUUGGUAGAGCCACCGGCUCAUAACCGGUAGGUCGUAGGUUCAAAUCCUACUGUGCCCACCA
This 76-nucleotide transfer RNA is filed under the name Deltaproteobacteria bacterium. RNAcentral describes it as "tRNA-Met". It matches the Rfam family "tRNA". From Rfam's summary of the family: Transfer RNA (tRNA) molecules are approximately 80 nucleotides in length. Their secondary structure includes four short double-helical elements and three loops (D, anti-codon, and T loops). Lineage: Bacteria; Pseudomonadati; Myxococcota; Myxococcia. The record is from RNAcentral.